Molecule: long non-coding RNA, 705 nt
Filed under: Diabrotica virgifera virgifera (western corn rootworm)
Lineage: Eukaryota; Metazoa; Arthropoda; Insecta; Coleoptera; Chrysomelidae
Description: uncharacterized LOC126890721
Source: RNAcentral
UUUUGCGUUCAUUUUCAAAUUCGCCGUGCAUAUAUUUUUGUGCAUGGCGCUUGAGAGGGCAUCACGUGACUAAAAACGACCAACCAACGACCUCGCUUCGGCCAUCUUGGCAUCUUCAUCUUGGCCACGGAUCGUUGUUUAGUUGUUUGUAUUAUUUGCACUAUAUAUUAUUUAUCUAUGUAUUAUUUGUGCUUUUUAAGAAUAUUUUUUUAAUUCGGAUACUUUUAUAAUAGCUUUAAUAGUAUUAUUAACAUAGUGAAUAAAAUGGUGUCCUGUUUUUAACGCAGUUGGAGUAGCAGAAACAAAUGUAGAUAAAAAAAUCUGCAGGAAUAACGUUUCAAUUAUGACAGAAGCUCCAAACAAAUGACUGUGAAUGAAAAGCCCUAUUAAAAGCUUUCCAGAAGAUCCUGCGAAGAAGACAUGAAGUAUAGAUCAGAUUUGUUAAUAGAGGAGUAUGUUCAAAACACUUUUUAGAAAAGAUAUUGACAGAACUUCACUUUCAUCUGUUCGUUUAAGAGACUGUGCUGUUCCAAUAGCUUAUGUCACACAGAAUCAGCUGAGAGAAGUGGUCUACAAAAAACCAGAAAGGAAACGGAAUAUGUGGCUACGAAAAGCAAAAGAAAGGUUUACAAAGCAAAUGUGACACAUUUUUUUAUAAUAUUUAGGAAUGUCAGUAAAUUACAUUAAAAAAUGUAUGUAAAGAUU